RNAcentral lists this long non-coding RNA (806 nucleotides) under Vigna radiata. RNAcentral describes it as "long non-coding RNA (VRAD_LNC001111)". The record is from RNAcentral. Lineage: Eukaryota; Viridiplantae; Streptophyta; Magnoliopsida; Fabales; Fabaceae.
GGAGAACCAUUUGUGUUUGCUCAUAAAUUGGUUUUGGAAUACCUUGGGAAUGUGUUGUGAUUUUGUGAAAACAUAUGCUUGUGGUUGUUUCUCAUGUGAGUAUAUCGAGAAUGUUGUUAUUGUUUUUACUGUUGUUAAUGAUUGUGGCAUGAUCUAUGACAACCAUUGGAAACCAAAGAACUUAACCGGGUGAGAUUUUGUGCCUCAGAGUUUUUAUCCAUGAGUGCUACCUCUUUUGGUUAAAAUUAACUUUGCUUGAGUUUCAUUGCUAGUUAUUAUUCAUGUGCAUGCUUACAUUGAAACAAGGUCCUCUUUCUUUCCCUCUUUGCAUCAUAUACCCAGAUUAGCCAAUUGUGUUUCAAAGAUUAGAACCCUUGUGUAAACUUUUCAGCAUUUAAAGAAACUUACCUUCACUUUUGAAACCUUAAGUCUUGUUGAAUAUGAUUGACAAUCUCACCUUGAUGGGAGAGUAAGGUUUCCAUGGACAGUAGUAUGAUUCAAGUGUGGGGGAAGUUAUUAUUUAAAAGGGAGCAUGAGUAACAAUGGUGAAUUGGUGUUGGUUGAUGUGAUGCAUUCUUGUAUAUAUGUCAUCUAUAAAAGAAAAAGAAAGAGAAAAUAGAAAAAGAAAAAGAAAAAGAAAAUAUAUGAAUAAGGUGACUGCAAGUGGGUGUUUGGUUGUUCUAGUUUUCUGACAAAAGAGAGUAUAAUGAUAAAACUGUAAAAAUGAUGUGAUUGCUCUCUUUGCUCCUUCACAUUACCUUGAUACACCAAUUUCCUUCUUUGCCUUGUCAGACCAUCAAAUAAAG